GCGGGUGUGGCGAAAUUGGUAGACGUAUCAGACUUAGGAUCUGACGCCGCGAGGCAUGGGGGUUCGAGUCCCUCCACCCGCACUA
This 85-nucleotide transfer RNA is filed under the name Verrucomicrobiaceae bacterium. RNAcentral's name for it is "tRNA-Leu". It matches the Rfam family "tRNA". From Rfam's summary of the family: Transfer RNA (tRNA) molecules are approximately 80 nucleotides in length. Their secondary structure includes four short double-helical elements and three loops (D, anti-codon, and T loops). Lineage: Bacteria; Pseudomonadati; Verrucomicrobiota; Verrucomicrobiia; Verrucomicrobiales; Verrucomicrobiaceae. The record is from RNAcentral.